Molecule: ribosomal RNA, 392 nt
Filed under: uncultured bacterium
Lineage: Bacteria
Description: partial 16S ribosomal RNA
Rfam family: Bacterial small subunit ribosomal RNA
Source: RNAcentral
AUACGGAGGAUCCGAGCGUUAUCCGGAUUUAUUGGGUUUAAAGGGUGCGCAGGCGGCCAUUUAAGUCAGCGGUUAAAUCGUGGGGCUCAACCCCAUUCUGCCGUUGAUACUGGGUGGCUUGGUUGCGGUCGAGGUUGGCGGAAUUCGUUGUGUAGCGGUGGAAUGCAUAGAUAUGACGAAGAACACCGAUUGCGUAGGCAGCUGACCAGACCGCAAAUGACGCUCAUGCACGAAAGUGCGGGGAUCGAACAGGAUUAGAUACCCUGGUAGUCCGCACAGUAAACGAUGAAUACUUGUUUUCGGCGAUAUAAUGUCGGAGGCAAAGCGAAAGCGAUAAGUAUUCCACCUGGGGAGUACGCCGGCAACGGUGAAACUCAAAGGAAUUGACGGGG